RNAcentral lists this ribosomal RNA (545 nucleotides) under uncultured bacterium. RNAcentral describes it as "partial 16S ribosomal RNA". It matches the Rfam family "Bacterial small subunit ribosomal RNA", at positions 355 to 914 of the family's 1533-position model. The record is from RNAcentral.
UGGGGAAUAUUGCACAAUGGGCGAAAGCCUGAUGCAGCAACGCCGCGUGAGCGAUGAAGGUCUUCGGAUUGUAAAGCUCUGUCUUUUGGGACGAUAAUGACGGUACCAAAGGAGGAAGCCACGGCUAACUACGUGCCAGCAGCCGCGGUAAUACGUAGGUGGCGAGCGUUGUCCGGAUUUACUGGGCGUAAAGGGUGCGUAGGCGGAUGUUUAAGUGAGAUGUGAAAUACCCGGGCUUAACUUGGGUGCUGCAUUUCAAACUGGAUAUCUAGAGUGCAGGAGAGGAGAAUGGAAUUCCUAGUGUAGCGGUGAAAUGCGUAGAGAUUAGGAAGAACACCAGUGGCGAAGGCGAUUCUCUGGACUGUAACUGACGCUGAGGCACGAAAGCGUGGGUAGCAAACAGGAUUAGAUACCCUGGUAGUCCACGCCGUAAACGAUGAGUACUAGGUGUAGGAGGUAUCGACCCCUUCUGUGCCGCAGUAAACACAUUAAGUACUCCGCCUGGGAAGUACGAUCGCAAGAUUAAAACUCUAAAGUGAAUUGAC